This 237-nucleotide ribosomal RNA is filed under the name uncultured Anoxybacillus sp. RNAcentral's name for it is "partial 16S ribosomal RNA". It matches the Rfam family "Bacterial small subunit ribosomal RNA", at positions 1142 to 1382 of the family's 1533-position model. The record is from RNAcentral. Lineage: Bacteria; Bacillati; Bacillota; Bacilli; Caryophanales; Anoxybacillaceae.
ACGAGCACGGCUAAAAGUCGGAGGAAGGUGGGGAUGACGUCAAAUCAUCAUGCCCCUUAUGACCUGGGCUACACACGUGCUACAAUGGGCGGUACAAAGGGUCGCGAACCCGCGAGGGGGAGCCAAUCCCAAAAAGCCGCUCUCAGUUCGGAUUGCAGGCUGCAACUCGCCUGCAUGAAGCCGGAAUCGCUAGUAAUCGCGGAUCAGCAUGCCGCGGUGAAUACGUUCCCGGGCCUU